Molecule: ribosomal RNA, 3342 nt
Filed under: Triticum aestivum (bread wheat)
Lineage: Eukaryota; Viridiplantae; Streptophyta; Magnoliopsida; Poales; Poaceae
Description: partial small subunit ribosomal RNA
Source: RNAcentral
AUGGAGCGGCCCUCUUUUGCCAGAAGGCUUGCCUGCCUCACCGUACUGAUGAUGGCCGCCACACCCGCGCUUGUCUCGGCCGCCGGGCCGCCGCCUUCGCUGGAAAAACAAGCAGCGGCGCUCCUGGCCUGGAAAGCCAGCCUCCACAACCAAAGCCAAGUCGGUCUGCGGUCCUGGAGAAACACGUCGGCGCCUUGCAGUUGGCGCGGCAUCCGGUGUGGCGCACGGGCAACUUCCGGGCACCAGCCAGAGCCAGUGGUCACCAGCGUCUCCUUGCGUGGGACGCGGCUGCGAGGGACGCUGGAGCCCCUCGACUUCUCCGCCCUGAGCACCUUGCGGGCCCUGGACCUCUCGCGCAACCGGCUGCACGGGAGCAUUCCCUCCAGCGUGGAGGUCCUCAAGGAGCUCCAUGCGCUGCUCCUGCACGGCAAUCGGAUAAGAGGCUACAUUCCACCUUCUCUGGGAAGCCUCACAAGAUUGCAUUUCCUAAUGCUCCAUGACAACCAAAUCUCCGGCGAAAUACCGAGUCAGAUAGGCGAGCUGGAUAAUCUUGUGGGUCUAAACCUGUCAGGCAAUCGUCUGGUUGGUCAUAUCCCUCAUCAAGUAGGACGCCUACCGCACUUGGCUACAUUAGAUUUCUCCAACAAUAACCUGUCAGGUUCAAUCCCAAGCAGCUUAGGGAAUCUGACUGAACUAAUUAGCUUGCGCCUCCCAGGAAACCAACUUUCUGGACAUAUUCCGGGAGAACUGGGUUAUUUGUUCAACUUAGAGCACUUGGAGCUUAGCCACAACCCGCUCACAGGCUCCAUCCCGAUUAGCUUUGGGAAUUUGACAAAGCUCUCUGCCUUGUACAUCGAUAGUAGCCAACUCUCUGGACACAUUCCUCAACAACUAAGUUCUUUGGUCCACUUGGAGAAAUUGGUUCUUAGGAACAACACACUUACAGGCCCUAUCCCAAAGACCUUAGGGAAUCUGACUAAACUCACUACUUUGCAUCUUCACAGGAACACACUUUUUUGCCACAUUCCUCAAGAACUAGGAUUUUUGAUCGAGCUGAAGGAAUUCAAGCUUCACAGAAACACACUAAUAGGUUCGAUCCCAAAUAGCUUGGGGAAUUUGACAAAAAUCACUACAUUCUAUCUUUGCAACAACCAAAUCUCUGGACACAUUCCUCAAGAACUGGGCUAUUUGGUCAACUUAGAGGACUUGGAUCUUGGGAACAACACACUAACAGGCCCCAUCCCAAACAGUUUAGGGAAUUUGACUAAGCUCACCUCCUUAGGCCUUUAUAUGAACCAACUUUCUGGAUCCAUUCCUCAAGAAGUUAGCAAAUUGAGAAAUCUGGUUUACUUUCUACUCGGCUUUAACAACCUCACUGGUGCCUUGCCAUCGAAUCUUUGUUCGGGAGGCCGACUGCAGAAUUUCACCGUUGUUGACAACAAUUUAACUGGACCUGUGCCAAGAAGCUUGCUUAACUGCAAAAGUCUAGUCAGAAUUCGUCUUGAACGAAAUCAGCUCAAUGGAGAUAUCUCUGACAUGGGACAUCUUUCAAAUCUUGUAUAUAUUGACAUCAGUUCUAAUAAACUAUACGGGCAAUUAUCUCAUCGGUGGGGUGAGUGCUACAAACUUACAAUGAUGCGUGCCUCAAACAAUAUUAUAACUGGAGUCAUACCCCCAAGCAUAGGGAAAUUAUCUCAGCUUGGGAUACUUGAUGUUUCAUCAAACAAACUUGAAGGGCAAAUCCCACAAGAAAUCGGCAACCUGUCUGCAUUAUUCUAUCUGAGCCUUGGUGAUAACUUGCUUUGGGGAAGUAUACCACAAGAAAUUGGAGCCCUAAAAAGUUUGGAGCAUUUGGAUUUAUCAUCGAACAACCUAAGUGGGAUGAUACAAUGGUCAAUUGGGAACUGCUCCAAGCUUCGCUAUGUGAAGUUGAGCCAUAAUCACCUCAGUGGCAACAUUCCAAUCGAACUAGGUAAGUUGGUAAACCUACAAGAGUUGUUGGACCUAAGUGACAAUUCUUUUCUCGACUCUAUUCCGAGUCAGUUGGGUGGUCUGAACAUGCUUGAAGCCUUGAAUCUUUCACAUAAUACACUGAAGGGCCGCAUUCCACCAUCAUUUGGGAGCAUGACCAGCCUCCUAUCUAUGGACGUAUCAUACAAUAAACUAGAAGGGCCGGUGCCACAAAGUAAGCUCUUUAGAGAAGCUUCAGUUGAAUGGUUCUUCCCCAAUAAGAAUUUGUGUGGUGCCGUGAAAGGUUUGCCCACUUGUGAUCCUCCUCCGAGUGGUGGGCGGGAAAUGAAGUCCAAAGCUAUUCUGCUUGCUAUAAUGCCAGCUAUUUUAUUUUUUGGGUUCAUCAUGACACUAGUAACAUUGCAAUGUAAAAGGAAGAAAUCCAUGGCACAGGAUCUAAAUGAAUUGCACCAGACAAAGUUGUUCGCCGUCUGGGACUUUGAUGGACAAGAUGUGUACAAGAAAAUUGUUGAUGCCACAGAAAAUUUCAGUGACACCCACUGCAUUGGAAUUGGAGGUAAUGGAUCAGUGUACAGAGCUCAGUUGCCAACAGGGGAAAUAUUUGCUGUAAAAAAGAUUCAAAUGAUGGAAGAUGCUGAGAUAUUUAAUUGUGAAGUAGAAGCGUUGAUGCAUAUUCGGCACCGCAACAUUGCGAAGUUAUACGGCUAUUGUUCUGCUCCUCAGGGGAGAUUUCUUGUGUAUGAAUACAUGCAUAGAGGAAGCUUAGCAGCAUCUUUGAAGAACAACGAAACUGCAAUUGAAAUGGUUUGGGUGAAGAGGUUAAAUGUAAUUACGGACGUUGCUCAUGCUUUGUCUUACAUGCAUCAUGAUUGCUUUGCGCCGAUGGUCCACAGAGAUAUAACAAGCAGCAACAUUUUGCUUGACCUUGAAUUCAGAGCAUGCAUCUCUGAUUUUGGUAUUGCCAAAAUACUAGACAUGGAUGCGCCAAGUUGCACAAAGCUUGCCGGGACAAAAGGAUAUCUGGCCCCAGAGCUUGCAUACACAACAAGGGUGACGGAGAAGUGUGAUGUUUAUAGUUUUGGAGUACUUGCUCUAGAGUUGUUUAUGGGACAUCAUCCAGGUGAUUUUCUUUUGUCCAUGGCCAAGAAAAGUAUAUUACUUGAGAAAUUGUUGGACACCCGGCUCCCACUCCCUGAAGCAGAGAUUGUAAGUGGCAUAUCUAAAGUUAUCGCGAUCGCUGUUCGGUGCAUAGAACCUGAUCCAUCGCACCGUCCAACUAUGCAACAAGUAACCAAGGUGUCCUCAACAGCUGAAGGAACAGCUAAUGAUUAUCUGCACACUGUCAUUGCCAUCCCUGCCUGCUGGUCGUGA